GAUGAAGAACGUAGCGAAAUGCGAUAAGUAAUGUGAAUUGCAGAAUUCAGUGAAUCAUCGAAUCUUUGAACGCACAUUGCGCCCGCCAGUAUUCUGGCGGGCAUGCCUGUUCGAGCGUCAUUUCAACCCUCAGGCCCGGCCUGGCGUUGGGGAUCGGCGCGGCCCCCCGGGGCUGCCGGCCCCGAAAUCUAGUGGCGGUCUCGCUGUAGUCCUCCUCUGCGCAGUAGCAUACGCUCGCACUGGAACUCGGCAAGGCCACGCCGUAAAACACCCCACUUCUGAAAGUUGACCUCGGAUCAGGUAGGAAUACCCGCUGAACUUAAGCAUAUCAAUAAGCCGGAGGA
RNAcentral lists this unclassified non-coding RNA (344 nucleotides) under soil metagenome. RNAcentral describes it as "partial contains 5.8S ribosomal RNA, internal transcribed spacer 2, and large subunit ribosomal RNA". The stretch from base 1 to 120 matches the Rfam family "5.8S ribosomal RNA", at positions 35 to 154 of the family's 154-position model. The record is from RNAcentral.